This is a long non-coding RNA of Gasterosteus aculeatus aculeatus (three-spined stickleback), 948 nucleotides long. The record is from Ensembl. Lineage: Eukaryota; Metazoa; Chordata; Actinopteri; Perciformes; Gasterosteidae.
CCAUCAAACCGUUUCAUGUUGAAUAUUUUCAGAUUCCAAAAAAAUAGAUCGAAUAAGUUGAAGUUGCGUUGAAGGAGCUUCCCCUCGGUGGAAGUACUUCCUCUUCUGUGUUCGAUGCAGAGGAAGUGAACGUCCUUAUCGUCCUCUGUAUCGUCUCCGCUUGUUGUCGUCGUCAUGGCAACCGAUGAGUUGUAACAACAUGACAGGAACAGGAAGUGUCCGUAUUUGGACUUUGGAGAAAAUGUAUUUAAAUAUUUAACUUGAAUUUCGCUGCCUGCUGGUCAUGUCCUACUCGUUUGCCUCUGCAAUACUGUGCUAUUAAAAGUGUGUUACUAAGUGAAUGCACGUUCUGUUGUGUGACGGAUGACAUCACUAAUGACUUUAGGGUCCAUCGGCGUUUAUUUGAACGUUGGUAAAUGGACAGCACUUCGCCACGUCAGGACUUUUGGAGAAACAUUCAUUCACAAUUUAAUACUAACAUUCUACUUUGUCAAAAACAUGCUUUGUCGUUACGAUGUACAUCUAUUUGGGGCAGAAAAUACUUAGAUAAUUGAAGAGGAAAAACAUUUUGGAGGGAAGUCUUUUAUUUUGGAGGGGGGUCAUUAGGGAUCAACUAAUUUCAAUUUUUUUGUUUGCAGCAGCAAAUGAACCAUAUAUUUGUUAUUUGGUAUCUCCGGCCUCCUGCUUGCUGUGAUGAUGUGGCAGAUCUUUGUCUUCAGGAUGUAAAUAUAUGAUGUGUUUGGUCCCAGAAGACGAGACGUUAGAAGAAUCCCAUCAGGAGAUUAAACUCCCAGAAGUGGAGGAGGCUUCUGCUGGAGAGAACUCCACCAGAGAUUCUUUACCAGCACGUCGCAUCCUCUGCUAACAUCUCCUGCUUGGUUUGAGGGUCACGUUCACGUGUAAUUCAUGACCGCUUAAAGUUCCACCUUGAACCCGACACCUCAGAGC